ACCCUGUUGAGCUUGACUCUAGUCCGACUUUGUGAAACAUCUUUAGAGGUGUAGAAUAAGUGGGAGAGAAAUCGACCUUGAAAUACCACUACUUUAAAUGAUGUUUUACUUAUUUGAUUAUAACAAAUUUUUAUUCUAGCAAUAAGAUCGUAGUUUACUAUGGUUGAUUGUUUUCAAAGACAUUGUCAGAUGGGGAGUUUGGCUGGGGCGGCACAUCUGCUAAAAGAUAACGCAGGUGUCCAAAGAUGAACUCAAUGAGAACAGAAAUCUCAU
This 273-nucleotide ribosomal RNA is filed under the name uncultured marine Prymnesiales. RNAcentral describes it as "partial Eukaryotic large subunit ribosomal RNA". It matches the Rfam family "Eukaryotic large subunit ribosomal RNA", at positions 2410 to 2695 of the family's 3401-position model. The record is from RNAcentral. Lineage: Eukaryota; Haptophyta; Prymnesiales.